UUGACAAUGAUACGUCUACCUUCUCCAGAGUAUUCUUGACUUCUGUUGAUGUCGUGAAGGGGUUUUUCUUCA
Molecule: non-coding RNA, 72 nt
Organism: Pangasianodon gigas (Mekong giant catfish)
Lineage: Eukaryota; Metazoa; Chordata; Actinopteri; Siluriformes; Pangasiidae
Source: the annotation of a GenBank genome assembly